RNAcentral lists this ribosomal RNA (830 nucleotides) under Cellulosimicrobium sp. RNAcentral's name for it is "bacterial SSU rRNA". It matches the Rfam family "Bacterial small subunit ribosomal RNA", at positions 21 to 863 of the family's 1533-position model. The record is from RNAcentral. Lineage: Bacteria; Bacillati; Actinomycetota; Actinomycetes; Micrococcales; Promicromonosporaceae.
GGCUCAGGACGAACGCUGGCGGCGUGCUUAACACAUGCAAGUCGAACGAUGAUGCCCAGCUUGCUGGGUGGAUUAGUGGCGAACGGGUGAGUAACACGUGAGUAACCUGCCCUUGACUUCGGGAUAACUCCGGGAAACCGGGGCUAAUACCGGAUAUGAGCUACCUUCGCAUGGGGGUGGUUGGAAAGUUUUUCGGUCAAGGAUGGGCUCGCGGCCUAUCAGCUUGUUGGUGGGGUGAUGGCCUACCAAGGCGACGACGGGUAGCCGGCCUGAGAGGGCGACCGGCCACACUGGGACUGAGACACGGCCCAGACUCCUACGGGAGGCAGCAGUGGGGAAUAUUGCACAAUGGGCGAAAGCCUGAUGCAGCGACGCCGCGUGAGGGAUGAAGGCCUUCGGGUUGUAAACCUCUUUCAGCAGGGAAGAAGCGCAAGUGACGGUACCUGCAGAAGAAGCGCCGGCUAACUACGUGCCAGCAGCCGCGGUAAUACGUAGGGCGCAAGCGUUGUCCGGAAUUAUUGGGCGUAAAGAGCUCGUAGGCGGUUUGUCGCGUCUGGUGUGAAAACUCGAGGCUCAACCUCGAGCUUGCAUCGGGUACGGGCAGACUAGAGUGCGGUAGGGGAGACUGGAAUUCCUGGUGUAGCGGUGGAAUGCGCAGAUAUCAGGAGGAACACCGAUGGCGAAGGCAGGUCUCUGGGCCGCAACUGACGCUGAGGAGCGAAAGCAUGGGGAGCGAACAGGAUUAGAUACCCUGGUAGUCCAUGCCGUAAACGUUGGGCACUAGGUGUGGGGCUCAUUCCACGAGUUCCGUGCCGCAGCAAACGCAUUAA